GACGCUGGCGGCGCGCCUAACACAUGCAAGUCGAACGGAGCUUAGAGAGCUUGCUUUUUAAGCUUAGUGGCGAACGGGUGAGUAACGCGUGAGUAACCUGCCCUAGAGUGGGGGACAACAGUUGGAAACGACUGCUAAUACCGCAUAAGCCCACGGCUCGGCAUCGAGCAGAGGGAAAAGGAGCAAUCCGCUUUGAGAUGGCCUCGCGUCCGAUUAGCUAGUUGGUGAGGUAAACGGCCCACCAAGGCGACGAUCGGUAGCCGGACUGAGAGGUUGAACGGCCACAUUGGGACUGAGACACGGCCCAGACUCCUACGGGAGGCAGCAGUGGGGAAUAUUGCACAAUGGGGGAAACCCUGAUGCAGCGACGCCGCGUGGAGGAAGAAGGUCUUCGGAUUGUAAACUCCUGUUGUUGAGGAAGAUAAUGACGGUACUCAACAAGGAAGUGACGGCUAACUACGUG
RNAcentral lists this ribosomal RNA (463 nucleotides) under uncultured bacterium. RNAcentral's name for it is "bacterial SSU rRNA". It matches the Rfam family "Bacterial small subunit ribosomal RNA", at positions 33 to 507 of the family's 1533-position model. The record is from RNAcentral.